CAAACUCCACUCCUGCUGUUUCUUCUCUGCUGUGACACCCUCCAAGGCUGCAACUUUCAUCUGUAAUGGAUUCGUUUACACUUGGUCAAGGCUCUCGACAACAGUGGGACCAAAACCCAGAGGUUCACAGAAACUACAAUAGUCGCCAUGAGUCAGGCCAGUCUGCUCAGAGGAUGGCCUGCAGGACUGCCCACAGCAUUUGGAGGCCAGGCCUCAGCUGCAUCUCUGAAGCCCAGGCAAAGGCGGCACUGGGGAAGGUGGAACACCAGCAUUUCUACUGAUGCUCUGGGGUCCUGCAGAACCCUGACUGUGCCACAGAUCUUCUGUACCGUGUCCAUUUCCAUAUAAUCUAAUAAAUCCUUCUUACAAAGGAA
This 374-nucleotide long non-coding RNA is filed under the name Pan troglodytes (chimpanzee). Its description in RNAcentral is "lincRNA". Lineage: Eukaryota; Metazoa; Chordata; Mammalia; Primates; Hominidae. The record is from RNAcentral.